RNAcentral lists this ribosomal RNA (490 nucleotides) under uncultured bacterium. RNAcentral describes it as "partial 16S ribosomal RNA". It matches the Rfam family "Bacterial small subunit ribosomal RNA", at positions 30 to 507 of the family's 1533-position model. The record is from RNAcentral.
AUUGAACGCUGGCGGCAGGCCUAACACAUGCAAGUCGAACGGUAACAGGAAGCAGCUUGCUGCUUUGCUGACGAGUGGCGGACGGGUGAGUAAUGUCUGGGAAACUGCCCGAUGGAGGGGGAUAACUACUGGAAACGGUAGCUAAUACCGCAUAACGUCGCAAGACCAAAGAGGGGGACCUUAGGGCCUCUUGCCAUCGGAUGUGCCCAGAUGGGAUUAGCUAGUAGGUGGGGUAACGGCUCACCUAGGCGACGAUCCCUAGCUGGUCUAAGAGGAUGACCAGCCACACUGGAACUGAGACACGGUCUAGACUCCUACGGGAGGCAGCAGUGGGGAAUAUUGCACAAUGGGCGCAAGCCUGAUGCAGCCAUGCCGCGUGUAUGAAGAAGGCCUUCGGGUUGUAAAGUACUUUCAGCGGGGAGGAAGGGAGUAAAGUUAAUACCUUUGCUCAUUGACGUUACCCGCAGAAGAAGCACCGGCUAACUCCGUG